This 497-nucleotide ribosomal RNA is filed under the name uncultured bacterium. Its description in RNAcentral is "partial 16S ribosomal RNA". It matches the Rfam family "Bacterial small subunit ribosomal RNA", at positions 28 to 507 of the family's 1533-position model. The record is from RNAcentral.
GAUGAACGCUGGCGGCGUGCCUAAUACAUGCAAGUCGAGCGAACAGACGAGGAGUUUGCUCCUCUGUCGUUAGCGGCGGACGGGUGAGUCACACGUGGAUAACCUACCUAUCAGACUGGGAUAACUUCGGGAAACCGGAGCUAAUACCGGAUAAUAUAUUGAACCGCAUGGUUCGAUAGUGAAAGACGGUUUUGCUGUUACUUAUAGAUGGAUCCGCGCCGCGUUAGCUAGUUGGUAAGGUAACGGCUUACCAAGGCAACGAGGCGUAGCCGAACUGAGAGGGUGGUCGGCCGCAUGGGAACGGGGACAGGGUCCAGACGCCUAAGAGAGGCAGCAGUAGGGAAUCGUCCGCAAUGGGCGGAAGCCUGACGGAGCGAGGCCGCGUGAGUGAUGAAGGUGUUCGGAGAGUAAAAAUGUGUUAUUAGGGAAGAACAAAUGUGUAAGUAACUAUGCACGACUUGACGGUACCUAAUCAGAAAGCCACGGCUAACUACGUG